GACGAACGCUGGCGGCGUGCUUAACACAUGCAAGUCGAACGGAAAGGCCCUGCUUUUGUGGGGUGCUCGAGUGGCGAACGGGUGAGUAACACGUGAGUAACCUGCCCUUGACUUUGGGAUAACUUCAGGAAACUGGGGCUAAUACCGGAUAGGAGCUCCUGCUGCAUGGUGGGGGUUGGAAAGUUUCGGCGGUUGGGGAUGGACUCUCGGCUUAUCAGCUUGUUGGUGGGGUAGUGGCUUACCAAGGCUUUGACGGGUAGCCGGCCUGAGAGGGUGACCGGCCACAUUGGGACUGAGAUACGGCCCAGACUCCUACGGGAGGCAGCAGUGGGGAAUAUUGCACAAUGGGCGGAAGCCUGAUGCAGCAACGCCGCGUGCGGGAUGACGGCCUUCGGGUUGUAAACCGCUUUCGCCUGUGACGAAGCGUGAGUGACGGUAAUGGGUAAAGAAGCACCGGCUAACUACGUG
RNAcentral lists this ribosomal RNA (468 nucleotides) under uncultured bacterium. Its description in RNAcentral is "partial 16S ribosomal RNA". It matches the Rfam family "Bacterial small subunit ribosomal RNA", at positions 28 to 507 of the family's 1533-position model. The record is from RNAcentral.